GNNAGCUGGNGGCGUGCUUAACACAUGCAAGUCGAACGAUGAAGCCCUUCGGGGUGGAUUAGUGGCGAACGGGUGAGUAACACGUGGGCAAUCUGCCCUUCACUCUGGGACAAGCCCUGGAAACGGGGUCUAAUACCGGAUAACACCUGCCCGGGCAUCUGGGUGGGUUAAAAGCUCCGGCGGUGAAGGAUGAGCCCGCGGCCUAUCAGCUUGUUGGUGAGGUAGUGGCUCACCAAGGCGACGACGGGUAGCCGGCCUGAGAGGGCGACCGGCCACACUGGGACUGAGACACGGCCCAGACUCCUACGGGAGGCAGCAGUGGGGAAUAUUGCACAAUGGGCGAAAGCCUGAUGCAGCGACGCCGCGUGAGGGAUGACGGCCUUCGGGUUGUAAACCUCUUUCAGCAGGGAAGAAGCGAAAGUGACGGUACCUGCAGAAGAAGCGCCGGCUAACUACGUGCCAGCAGCCGCGGUAAUACGUAGGGCGCAAGCGUUGUCCGGAAUUAUUGGGCGUAAAGAGCUCGUAGGCGGCUUGUCACGUCGGGUGUGAAAGCCCGGGGCUUAACCCCGGGUCUGCAUUCGAUACGGGCUAGCUAGAGUGUGGUAGGGGAGAUCGGAAUUCCUGGUGUAGCGGUGAAAUGCGCAGAUAUCAGGAGGAACACCGGUGGCGAAGGCGGAUCUCUGGGCCAUUACUGACGCUGAGGAGCGAAAGCGUGGGGAGCGAACAGGAUUAGAUACCCUGGUAGUCCACGCCNUAAACGGUGGGAACUAGGUGUUGGCGACAUUCCACGUCGUNCGGUGCCGCANCUAACGCAUUAANUUCCCCGCCUGGGGGANUACNGGCNGCAGGGCUAAAACUCAAAGGAAUUGACGGGGGNCCCCCCAACCAG
RNAcentral lists this ribosomal RNA (889 nucleotides) under Streptomyces sp. LK1333.4. Its description in RNAcentral is "bacterial SSU rRNA". It matches the Rfam family "Bacterial small subunit ribosomal RNA", at positions 31 to 932 of the family's 1533-position model. Lineage: Bacteria; Bacillati; Actinomycetota; Actinomycetes; Kitasatosporales; Streptomycetaceae. The record is from RNAcentral.